AGUUUGGAUCUGGCUCAGAUUGAACGCUGGCGGGAUGCUUUACACAUGCAAGUCGAACGGCAGCCACGGACUUCGGUCUGGUGGCGAGUGGCGAACGGGUGAGUAAUGUAUCGGAACGUGCCUAGUAGCGGGGAUAACUACGCGAAAGCAGCAGCUAAUACAUACGCCCUUUAAAGGGAAAGCGGGGACCUUCGGGCCUCGCACUAAUAGAGCGGCCGAUAUCGGAUUAGCUAGUUGGUGAGAUAACGGCUCACCAAGGCGACGAUCCGUAGCUGGUUUGAGAGGACGACCAGCCACACUGGGACUGAGACACAUCCCAGACUCCUACGGGAGGCAGCAGUGGGGAAUUUUGGACAGUGGGGGAAACCUGAUCCAGCCAUCCGCGUGUGCGAUGAAGGCCUUCGGGUUGUAAAGCACUUUUGGCAGGAAAGAAACGGCACGGGAUAAUACCCCGUGCAACUGACGGUACCUGCAGAAUAAGCACCGGCUAACUACGUGCCAGCAGCCGCGGUAAUACGUAGGGUGCAAGCGUUAAUCGGAAUUACUGGGCGUAAAGCGUGCGCAGGCGGUUCGGAAAGAAGAUGUGAAAUCCAGAGCUUAACUUUGGAACUGCAUUUUUAACUACCGAGCUAGAGUGUGUCAGAGGGAGGUGGAAUUCCGCGUGUAGCAGUGAAAUGCGUAGAUAUGCGGAGGAACACCGAUAGCGAAGGCAGCCUCCUGGGAUAACACUGACGCUCAUGCACAGCGUGGGGAGCAAACAGGAUUAGAUACACAAGUAGUCCACGCCCUAAACGAUGUCAACUAGCUGUUGGGGCCUUCGGGCCUUGGUAGCGCAGCUAACGCGUGAAGUUGACCGCCUG
This 860-nucleotide unclassified non-coding RNA is filed under the name uncultured Bordetella sp. RNAcentral describes it as "partial 16S-23S ribosomal RNA intergenic spacer". It matches the Rfam family "Bacterial small subunit ribosomal RNA", at positions 10 to 875 of the family's 1533-position model. Lineage: Bacteria; Pseudomonadati; Pseudomonadota; Betaproteobacteria; Burkholderiales; Alcaligenaceae. The record is from RNAcentral.